GUCUGAACAUGGCAUGGACCGGACAGUUGUUUUGACGGAGAAACAUCAAAACGAUGAACGUAUCCUGGUUGGACGUCUCACCAAGCCAUUUGGAGGAUGAAUUAGUGUCCAGGAAGCUGCUGUGGACGGGAGAUGCCAGCCUCGACACCUCUUGGAAAAGCUUUUGGACAAGCGUUGAAGUAUGACACGGAGGAACAACUGCUCUCAGGCUUUGGGAGACCACGAGAAAUACUGUGAGCCAACCACAGGCCUUCAAUUAUCUGCUGUCAAGGCGGAAGAAUGACUGACAUGCUUCUUGGGGGAAGACGG
Molecule: long non-coding RNA, 309 nt
Organism: Solea senegalensis (Senegalese sole)
Lineage: Eukaryota; Metazoa; Chordata; Actinopteri; Pleuronectiformes; Soleidae
Exons: 3
Source: RefSeq, a predicted model, not a curated record